AUCGCGAUUUUUCUAACGAUUAAUCGUGCAGCCCUACCGCUUAGCUUAGCGUUAGCAUGCUGUGCUUGCGGAAUGUUGAAGUUGCGUUAACAGUAUAAGGCAGUUGUUUCUGUCCCAGUCUCCACUUUACCAUUGCGCUCUCAUCCUUUUAUACAAUAAAAAAUAAAAGAAAUGUCCAUAUUCACGUCAUAAACUGCACUACUGUUUUCCUCCUAUUACACAUAAACUAAAUCAGCUGAAUGUAGCAAGAGUGCAAGAACGGAUAAGCAGGGUCGAUAGGCAGGCAGACUAACGAUUUGAAGGAAGUAGACUACUGGGAACCAGUUCUUGACAAGAACCAGUUCUCGAUUCCCAUCCCUAAAUAGCACAGAGCGGUACACUAGAUUCACACCUACUUAUAAAAAUGUGGAAGAUGGUGUGCUUGCAAAGGCCACUGUACUUUACCUCUUCCUGGAGCUGCACAGAGUCCAAACAUGUUCCAGGGUUGAGGAAACUUUUAUUUUCCUUCUGUUUUGUUUUUCAACCCAGUGUCACAUUUGGUGAAAAAUCCGGACUGCAAUAUUGCCUAAAGCUCUCUGUGCUGUACAGACCACAGCGCUCAUACUUUUUAUGUUAGUACCAAAUGUGCUUAAAAAUCCUAGAGCUACUUUUAAGUCUGAGAACUCAAUGUGAUGUGCUUCCCUUUGAUUUUUUUUUUUUUUUUAAAGCAUUUCCACAUUAUGUUUUUGUUGGUACACUAUGAUCUUGUUGAGACUUAAUGAUAACCCUUUAACUGUCGUUUUUAAACAUACAACAUCAGAGUUUUGUUGCCUUAUCAGUUUCUCCCUGUGGGAGUCCUUUAUAUUCUUUUCCCUUCAUUCCACCUCUCUUUUCUCUAACCUUUUGGACUAUGUUCAGCUGCUGCUGUUGAUAAGAAUGCUCACUGGUAGGCUGUGUCUUGUCCUUUUUUGUUUUUUGUUUUAUUCCCUUUUCUUUCAAUAUAAGUGUCCAGUCCAAUCACUACCAGAUAGAGCCAUUGUUCUGCUUUAUUGCUAAGCUUGAACCAGAGUGGUUCUGACAACUGUCAAACCUUACAUAUCCCCCAAAAAUCACUUUUUAGCAGUUGUUUGAAACUGUCUUAACGCCACUGAAAAGCUGCACUAUGUAAUCCAUUGUCAACGUCCUUGCCCAUAUUUCCACUACUACCUGCCUUUAAGAAAUCAAUGGUAGUUUGUCUUGGUACAAAAAGACAGAUAACACUAACAUCAGUUUCCCUUUUGUGUGAAGUUUGCUUAGUCAUUCAUGUAGACUUUCCCAAACUUCUUUUGAAUGUCCAUCUUUGCCUGUUGGUCAGAAAUAUUCAUUACAACAAAAGCCCGAUGAUUCUCACUUCAUUCAAAAAAUAAAAGAAGAAGAAAUCAUUAAGGACAGCCUUUCUUAGCUACUCAGGAUGAGUGAUGUGCCUGUGACUAUGAACUGUUGCUGUCUUGACUCCACAUUUGAUUCCACCAGGUUGACUCAAGAAUGUGACUCAGAUCGAGUAACCUAAGACACAAUGGAUCAUGGAGACUGAGGAACAAAACAAAAAAGUCUGUCACUCCACUCUGUCUGCACAUACUGCAGUGUGCGCGAUCAACUCAGUCAUGCGCUCUCUCACAAGUCUGGGCCGAUGCCUAAGGUAAAAGAGGCUCUCCCCCUUGUUACAGCAGGGGUUGGUGCUGCCACUUUGCUCUGUAUACGAUGCUUGUGUAUCAUAAUGUAGCUGCUCCUUACCCUGUCUCCUUCAGAAAACAUAAUCUGCUUUAACAGAAAAAAUCAUCCUGUAAUGUUCUCUAGUCUUGUGCACUGUGGAAGAAAAAAAGCUUCUAUUUGAGAUUUUUAGCUUCCUGCCUAUUAAUGACAAGAGUUAUUGGUGUCAGUGUUUCACAGAACUACCAGAGUCCUCAGCAGUAAGUCUCAAACCCAAAGACUGUACAGUGAUCUUGGGAAAACCUUGAGUCAGUUUGAUUUUACUCAAAGCAUACCGAAAGGGGAAGCGUGUAACGAAAGUAUUUUAAAUUCCCCAAUAUUUGAAAUCACGGGAACUUAACAUAUUUUCACAAAUAUGUCCAGCAGAAAUUCCAGUAAAUGUGAGUAAGGCUUGGGAAAAGAAUGAAACUAACUUCUUCCAACCAGAUGACCAGAUGCUUUAUAUGGGCAAGAAUAGGACAUUGAAUUAGGCAUAGCUGAAAACCUUUAGCUGUAAAGAAAACUAAACUGUUAGCCACACUGACAACAUAGCCACUCAUCACAUUGUCUAACCUUAAUUUACGUACACAACCUGGGAAACCAAUGCAGCACAGUUCAAUCUUACAGGAAAAUUAAGUUGGCAGCGUAGUAGCCGAGGAAAAAUACAGCAAGUAUGUGUACUGUCAGAGUCAGUCUGUCCUCCAUUUUAGAGCUGCCAUUUCAGAUUUUCCUGCAGAACUUUUCACAGUUAAUUAAACUUUUCAUCGUAUGAAGGGUGGUGAAUGCCUUCGUUGUACAACAGCCAGUUCUCUCUCUGGAAAGACCUAAUUGGUCAGUCUCUAGUCAUGGGCUAAAGCCUAAAAAGAGAGCUGAGAGAAGUUGCACAAGUCUAGUUUUGUCUUGGACAACAUGCAGAAAGAUUAUUGUGGAAGCUUACAGAAAAAUGUCUGCUUAACUUUGCUACUUUAAUAAAAUUCAGUAGCCUGUCAAGGAAGCCACCAGACUUAAAGCAAAUUGCUCCAGCCUACUAUUGUUCAGUCUGAAUGAUUCAUAUUCUGAAAUGGCCACUGUGCACCAGCCCUGACCUUUGCUCAUGUUACACAGUACAGUUUCUAAAUGUUAUUAAAGAGGAUGACACCAGAUGAAAUCAUGGAGGUUUUUAGCUGUGGUGAAAGUUUCAGUAGUAAUGCAGAAGUGAAAGCUGUUCUGGUCAUUUAUUAAAAAAACGUAAUGUCUGAUGCCUAACCCAAACAGAGAUUUAGGUUAUAUUUGACUGAGGUCAUGGUGAGAUAAAUUAGGAUUUACAAAAUAAAAUUAGAACAAGUACACUGAAGAGUUUAACUCAAAGUGGAAACAGAAAUGUGUUGGACAUGUUUGUGAAAAUGCGAGUCAGCACUGCAUAUGAACCCAUUGGAGACGUGCAAGGCUUAUAAAUGGCUGCCCUGUGAAUUGAACUGACUCAUAUUAUUUUGGCAAACUGAAACAUCACGAUGCCAGUUCUGGAUGCUCAAGAGACAAAAAAAAAAAAUCCUAAUUGGGCAUAGAGUCCUGUUCUGUAAGGCCAUGUAUUCAAUUGCACCAAAUCUAAAAUGGCUGCCAACAGACAGCUCUUUAAAAAAAAAGAAAAAAAUGUCCAUGUAACCUUUACUCAAGCCGUUCUGGGGAAAAUCACCGAACAGUGCUCUGCUGAAGGAAGCUCAUGCUGUAUCUUAUCUCUGUGCCCUGUGAGAGCCCUGGUGUGCGUUUGUCAAGAUGGAGCAGAGAUAGAUAGGGCAGUUCAGUCCAAUGCUGGCCCAUAGCAUUUGAACAGACCUCAAAUACUCUUUCUUGUCACCAUUCAUCAUCUCUUAGGUCAUUUUCAGUGAAGUAUCUCAAUUACAUUCUGACAAUGACAACUGCUGUUACAAAUGUCUUAAAGGUGUUUGCACAUUCAGCUCAGUAGUGUUUUUGUGUCUAAAUGGGGUGCUUGUGAAGGCCCUUCCUUGGUUUAAUGAGCACUGUUGAUUAACGGUGCGGCACAAAUAAAGGGCCGGAAGAUAAGGUUAAGAGAUUUGGUCAAGGUAAGGGUAAUCCAAGUAUCCCAUUUAGAUUUUACCUUGUUAUAGUUCAGAGCAGUAAAUGCAUUUCUGAGCUGAUUAAUUUGCCAAUGCAAACUAUUGGCCUUACUGAAGCCUCAUUAAAACUAAGAAGUGACUGCUGUGCCAUGCCUGCUUGAUGUUGGGGGAGGAACAGUCCAUUUAACCACUAUGCAACCCACUUGUGCUUGUCUGUUUCUCUCCUUUGUCUGUGUUCGCAGUUCUAAACAGAGCACCCUGUGUGUCAGGAAAACUAUAUCCUCACACACAAAGAGAAGGAGAGAAUGAACAGUAAAUAUUCAAACUACACAAAACGUUGUUCAACAGAAAAACGGAUCGAUAAAGAGUUGAAGCUCUCCGUGCCAAGUGACUCCUCGUAAAUGGGUACUUAAACUUUUUCUCUUUUCCCCCCUCCCUCCUUUUGGUGGGGUGAGAUGAGGAGCCAAACGGACUUGGUGUUUAAAGUGAGAAAAUGAAAGCUGUGGUUCCUAAUGUCCUGUCUAAGUGGAUGUCUCUAUGUGUGAUGAAGCGUGAAGUGCUCUGUAACCCUAACAAAAUGACUAUCACUGUGUUCCUGUGCUUUUAAAUGGCCUCCUCACUGUCACUAUCUCUGCCUCCAUCCUCCUCAGUAUGAAAUGGGAAGGCAAAAUGGAGGACAUCCAUAAAUAGAGUAAUUGCAUGAAGGGCAGGUGUUUAUUGUACCCUCAGCCCUCACACACUCUAUAAUGAUCCAAAAAGGUCAAAUUGUUAAUGGUGCUCGAACUUCAUAUUUUCCUCUGUCCAUACUGAAUAUUGUAUAAAGUUAGAUUAUGUGUAGUCUGUUUAAUCUUCUAUGAUAGUUCACACCUCAAAACACAAAAAUGCUCAAACUGCAAAUUUAUCCAUGUGCUUGCCACAACGAUGGAUACGUAAUCUUUUUUUAUAUAACUUCAUUAAAUCACAAUGGACUCCUGCUAGUGAUCAACAAGUGAGUUUCGAAGUCAACACAAAUCUGUUGGGGUGAAAAACUGUAGCUUAUUGUGUUGAAAACGUAUGUGACUCGGACUGCAGCGGGUUUCCUUCAGGAUUUCUCAGGAGUUUUGCUGCAUUCAAUUUACCCUCUACCUUCAGAAGCUACUGCAGCGAAGCCUCCACACAGCAUGACGCAGCCACCAUCACACUUGUGGGGAUAAUGUGUUUGUAGUGGUGAGGAGUUACUGACUUGUGAAAGCAGUGGGCAGAAUUCAUAAAAUAAGCCUAAUUCCACGUGGAUCCUCCACUUUUGUAAUGCCAGCUUCCUCUAUAGUAGCCCGCUGGUUUUAUAGGUAGUGUUUCCAUGUCAGCUUUAGGAUUGUGUAGACCUCCUGUAGACAUCUUGGUGCUCUUCUUCACUAAAUGUUGCACAAGUACAGUGUGCUCUAUAGAGAUGAGCAAAUUUUUUCAUGAUAUUAAACUGAUGAGUCAUGUGACUUAGCUUUUCUCUAAGUAAUACUUUAGAGUGACAAAUCACUCAAGUGUUUGUAAUGCAUUUAUAGUACUAGCCCAACUUUUUUUUUUAAAUAUUAAAUGAACAUAUAAAGGGAAUGAAUAGUUUUUACAGAUGUUUUACAUUCUGUGAUGAUGAUCUUUGGUGCAACAGUUUUUCUAUGUGUCUGGCUUCUGUGUUGCCAAUGAAUUUACCACAAAAGUUAUUUUAGUCUAACACAAUUUAUUGAAACAUUGUAACACAGACAUGAUUUAAUAAACAAAACUUGAACUAUAA
Molecule: non-coding RNA, 5523 nt
Organism: Maylandia zebra (zebra mbuna)
Lineage: Eukaryota; Metazoa; Chordata; Actinopteri; Cichliformes; Cichlidae
Source: RefSeq, a predicted model, not a curated record